RNAcentral lists this ribosomal RNA (1460 nucleotides) under uncultured organism. RNAcentral describes it as "SSU rRNA". It matches the Rfam family "Bacterial small subunit ribosomal RNA". The record is from RNAcentral.
GCUGGCGGCGUGCCUAAUACAUGCAAGUAGAACGCUGAAGAGAGGAGCUUGCUCUUCUUGGAUGAGUUGCGAACGGGUGAGUAACGCGUAGGUAACCUGCCUUGUAGCGGGGGAUAACUAUUGGAAACGAUAGCUAAUACCGCAUAACAAUGGAUGACACAUGUCAUUUAUUUGAAAGGGGCAAUUGCUCCACUACAAGAUGGACCUGCGUUGUAUUAGCUAGUAGGUGAGGUAAUGGCUCACCUAGGCGAUGAUACAUAGCCGACCUGAGAGGGUGAUCGGCCACACUGGGACUGAGACACGGCCCAGACUCCUACGGGAGGCAGCAGUAGGGAAUCUUCGGCAAUGGGGGCAACCCUGACCGAGCAACGCCGCGUGAGUGAAGAAGGUUUUCGGAUCGUAAAGCUCUGUUGUAAGUCAAGAACGGGUGUGAGAGUGGAAAGUUCACACUGUGACGGUAGCUUACCAGAAAGGGACGGCUAACUACGUGCCAGCAGCCGCGGUAAUACGUAGGUCCCGAGCGUUGUCCGGAUUUAUUGGGCGUAAAGCGAGCGCAGGCGGUUUGAUAAGUCUGAAGUUAAAGGCUGUGGCUCAACCAUAGUUCGCUUUGGAAACUGUCAAACUUGAGUGCAGAAGGGGAGAGUGGAAUUCCAUGUGUAGCGGUGAAAUGCGUAGAUAUAUGGAGGAACACCGGUGGCGAAAGCGGCUCUCUGGUCUGUAACUGACGCUGAGGCUCGAAAGCGUGGGGAGCGAACAGGAUUAGAUACCCUGGUAGUCCACGCCGUAAACGAUGAGUGCUAGGUGUUGGAUCCUUUCCGGGAUUCAGUGCCGCAGCUAACGCAUUAAGCACUCCGCCUGGGGAGUACGACCGCAAGGUUGAAACUCAAAGGAAUUGACGGGGGCCCGCACAAGCGGUGGAGCAUGUGGUUUAAUUCGAAGCAACGCGAAGAACCUUACCAGGUCUUGACAUCCCGAUGCUAUUUCUAGAGAUAGAAAGUUACUUCGGUACAUCGGUGACAGGUGGUGCAUGGUUGUCGUCAGCUCGUGUCGUGAGAUGUUGGGUUAAGUCCCGCAACGAGCGCAACCCCUAUUGUUAGUUGCCAUCAUUCAGUUGGGCACUCUAGCGAGACUGCCGGUAAUAAACCGGAGGAAGGUGGGGAUGACGUCAAAUCAUCAUGCCCCUUAUGACCUGGGCUACACACGUGCUACAAUGGUUGGUACAACGAGUUGCGAGUCGGUGACGGCGAGCUAAUCUCUUAAAGCCAAUCUCAGUUCGGAUUGUAGGCUGCAACUCGCCUACACGAAGUCGGAAUCGCUAGUAAUCGCGGAUCAGCACGCCGCGGUGAAUACGUUCCCGGGCCUUGUACACACCGCCCGUCACACCACGAGAGUUUGUAACACCCGAAGUCGGUGAGGUAACCUUUUGGAGCCAGCCGCCUAAGGUGGGACAGAUGAUUGGG